This 497-nucleotide ribosomal RNA is filed under the name uncultured bacterium. Its description in RNAcentral is "partial 16S ribosomal RNA". It matches the Rfam family "Bacterial small subunit ribosomal RNA", at positions 28 to 507 of the family's 1533-position model. The record is from RNAcentral.
GACGAACGCUGGCGGCGUGCCUAAUACAUGCAAGUUGAGCGCUGAAGGUUGGUACUUGUACCAACUGGAUGAGCAGCGAACGGGUGAGUAACGCGUGGGGAAUCUGCCUUUGAGCGGGGGACAACAUUUGGAAACGAAUGCUAAUACCGCAUAAAAACUUUAAACACAAGUUUUAAGUUUGAAAGAUGCAAUUGCAUCACUCAAAGAUGAUCCCGCGUUGUAUUAGCUAGUUGGUGAGGUAAAGGCUCACCAAGGCGAUGAUACAUAGCCGACCUGAGAGGGUGAGCGGCCACAUUGGGACUGAGACACGGCCCAAACUCCUACGGGAGGCAGCAGUAGGGAAUCUUCGGCAAUGGACGAAAGUCUGACCGAGCAACGCCGCGUGAGUGAAGAAGGUUUUCGGAUCGUAAAAAUCUGUUGGUAGAGAAGAACGUUGGUGAGAGUGGAAAGCUCAUCAAGUGACGGUAACUACCCAGAAAGGGACGGCUAACUACGUG